Pleuronectes platessa (European plaice) is the source of this 1140-nucleotide long non-coding RNA. RefSeq lists it as uncharacterized. The record is from RefSeq and is a predicted model, not a curated record. Lineage: Eukaryota; Metazoa; Chordata; Actinopteri; Pleuronectiformes; Pleuronectidae. The transcript is spliced from 3 exons.
ACCAUUUUAUAUAAUUUGCCAAAUAUACAUUUUUAUUAAAUCCCCAAAGUACGCUUGCUGAAAUACAAGUUAAUAUCACAUUGAAAGAAUUUUGAUCAAUCAUGCUUCCCUGCUGUGAUUGUUUAACUGGGAAAAAACAACUUUUUCCACAGGAAGGCAAGUAAAUUUAAGGAAUACAUGUGCAAAGUUUUCCUCUGUUAUGUAUAAUGAUGACCCCCAUCAAACAUAAUGUUAGCAAUAUUUACACCUUUUAAUUUAUACUGUUUAUUUCUGUCUACAUGUGUGAAUUUGCCUUCAUUAGUUUCAGAAAAGAGCGAUGAUGUAUCGGUCAGUGGGCGGCAGCACGAGACUCCGCAAACUAGUCUGUAAGCAAAGCAGACGAAGGCAUCGAGGUUGCGGCCUGCCAUCAUUGUUAUUUUGCUUAAGGGACUGAAUAUGUUUCAUGCAGAAAUAUUAGCAUUUCCCUUAUAUCUACCAAAACUGCUUGUUUCACAGACUGCAGUUUUGUUUUGAUCCGAUGUGGUGUGCAAAUACAACCGUAUCUGCAAUGGGUUGUGGGGCAUUAACAUUUGUAACUCUAAUUUUGUUUUGACAGACUGUGAAAAGAACGUUGAGAACAUCACCACUCUACAGGAAGACACAGUCCAGUAAUGGGUGUCAGAAGUUCAGUAGUGAACGACAGGUACUGUGGGAAAAUGUGUGUCAUUGUUGUACAAUGUCCUUUGACUCUGUUUAAACAAGGUCAACACAAAAAGGUUUGAUUGUAAACUGAUAUCGGUACGAAUUCAUGUUAUUCUCCUCGUCAAAAGAAACAAACAAUCAAAAUUACCUGCAGAAAGCCCUUGAUGGACGCUUCAGCUGCAUCGUCAGACUGGAAGGACUGAUGCAUUUACUGAGACGGGACUUGAGGGCCUACUCUGCGUGCUCAGAGUUCAAGCCCAGCAGGCUGCAGCGGUCCUGACAUAUUCCGGAACAGCAGCACAGUCUUUAGAUGACUCCUCUGAAGAUGAAAACAUGGCGAGUUCUUCUCAAGAGAAGCAGUACAGGUGUGCCUCAGCUCCACGGUCUCUCCUGCAACCUCCGCUCCUGAUGCUAACCUCAUGUCUCCAUCACACCAAGCAGCAGACCUGGAUUGACAGA